This 873-nucleotide long non-coding RNA is filed under the name Bos taurus (domestic cattle). RNAcentral describes it as "long non-coding RNA NONBTAT000529". The record is from RNAcentral. Lineage: Eukaryota; Metazoa; Chordata; Mammalia; Artiodactyla; Bovidae.
GACAAUUUAGAGUGUUAACUUUUCUCCUCUACAAAUUGUAUGAUUUUUGUCCUUUGAACUAAGGUAAAAUUAUAAUUAGUUUGGACUUCAGCAGUUUACUCACUUCACUUCACUUGACCUACUCUGACUAAAUAUUUUUUAAGUACCACCAUGAAGAAAGAAAAAUCCAUUUUUUCUCAAUUCUUUUGUUACCUUUAUCUUUUAAAAACAGCAGAUUAACUAUCCUUGACAGAGAAAACAAUUUGAGAUAGAUUUAAUUUGGAACUUAGUUUGUUGAUGUGUCAUUAAUGAUCAUAUUUGGGGAUUGUAUUUUAAAAAGAAUUAUGAUCCAUCAAAAGAAAUUGCUGUAUUUUAAAUACAAUGAAGACUGAGAAUUGCUGGCAUCUAAUGAACUGAAUUAUCUAAUAUGGGAUGCCCUGAGGCAUUUAGUGCAUGCCCUAUCUAUUUUUCAGUUUUUCAAAACUCAAAUAUUCAUACUGUACAUAUAAUAAAAACAAGUUACAGACUUAAUAGAAAUUGAAAUGGUCUCAAUGUUAACAUUAGACCCAUGGAAAAUUAGAGGAUAUGUGAGUACUUUUUUCAUUCUUUUAGUUUUCAGUGUGCCUAGAAGCAUUUGUUUCAUAUAAAAGUUAUAUUACAAAAUUAAUGGACUAAAGGCAGAAAGGGAAUUUAGAAAAAUGUCAAAUGAAGUCUGAAUAUAUACUGCAUGCAGGUGGAGGAUUUUUGAGGAAUAUUUAUGGAACAAAGUGCAGUCUCUUCCUAAAAAGUCCAGGCAUCCAAAAGAGACAUGAAGAGUCACUGUGGUUAUGUAAAACUGCAGUGAAAUUUCUGGUGGGACAGAGGGCUCUGAAGAGGUGGCAAUGAAGCAGUAAA